Molecule: long non-coding RNA, 1554 nt
Filed under: Daphnia pulex (common water flea)
Lineage: Eukaryota; Metazoa; Arthropoda; Branchiopoda; Diplostraca; Daphniidae
Description: uncharacterized LOC124202368, transcript variant X2
Source: RNAcentral
UUAAAGCAAAAUGUAGUCAAAUUUUAAAUAAUGUAGGUAGUAUAAUCCUUUGAUUGUAAAUUAUUUUCCCUACUACGUAAAGCUGGUACAAUAGCCGUACGGUUUUUUAUAUACCGAAAAGCAUUCAUUCAUCAUGGAGUCCAGGAUGAUUUACGAUGUGAUGGUAGAACAAUGCUGGAUUACCACCCUAUAAUUCUUGAAACUACAUUAGUUUCCAAUGCCAGUGGAUCGGCAAGGCUGAGACUUGCAAACUCAUCAACAUCUGGAAAAUGAAAUUUGCAAAUUCCUACAAAGAUCCUAUGCUUCAGCUGAUGUGAUAUUUCCACCAGUCCUGAUGUAUCAACACUGGUGCAGAGUCUACAACAAGCCAUGGCCCUUGAAGCUGAAUUCCAACCAAAGCUUCAACUUCUGUCAACACUCAACAGCCAGCAAUACAGGAGAAAGCGGUGAAAUUAUGUGUGCAAUGAGGGAUGGAGCUGCUCAUGUUCAUCGCUGCAUGAAAGUCUGGUAUGAUCUUCCUUAUGCAGUUCUUCUGGAUGCUCUCAACAUGAUGGACUGGUUCAUGAGCCGCAUCAAAGCACUCCUAAACACCUCUCAUGCAUAGCAAUCAGCUCCUUCCAUCUAGCAGCUUGCCAAUGGGUGGAGAGGAUUAAACAGAACAACAUUGAGGUAUCUUCCAUUCAGAGUCCAUUGUAGAUUGUUCCUGAACCUCAAUAUCUGGUAACGAUAUCUUAAUGUAAAUGUACCGCCGGAGACAUCAACCGGAUGGAAAAAAUUGUCGAAGCCAAGUUAGCUUGUCUACCCCAAGAAGAACCGGUCACGACCUUAACAUUCCUCAACCUGUAUCACUCACUUCUCUCGACGACUUUACCUGCCGCUCUUCAGCAAGACCUUCUUAUUCUUUCAUGCAAGCAGGAGACCAUUUGCUGUGACGCAAAAUAAUGCUGCCUUUCCCUCAUCUCUUUUGGCUUACGUCCUACUGUUUGUCGAAAUGAAGUGUCACCAGCCGGCCAUCAAGGUUAUUAUCAGAGACGUUUUACUAGAAAUUCAGCGACUUGUUAAGGUCAAAGAUGACUAGUUAAAGGAGUGUAUAAGAAUGGUCACUUCGGCAAUGGCACCUUACGAUGGCUAUGCCCAAAGCAAUCCGUCUCAUCGUCAACGACUUACCUGGAAGUUGUCCUUUUUCUAAUAUUUCUUUGCCUUCUAAAUCAUUUAUAAUAAGUUUUGCCUUUAGAAAAGGAAAAUGCCUAACUUUUUCUAGUCCUAUACCACUUACUGGUUGAGCCUGUGUAAAUUCGGGUCUCAAUGAUAUAUGAUUACCACUCUUAACAAGAAAACUAUAUAUUUCUUUACUCACUACAUCAGAAGUUUCUCCAAGUGUGCGGUCGAAAAUGUUAGUCAAAAUUCCCUUCAUAGAUAAGAGAAAUAGAGCCGUAAUUUCAUCCUAUAAACGUUCAAUUAAUCUAUCAAAAAUCUUAUCUUGUUUAGGGUGGUUAUUAACCUUAUAUGUUAUUUAUAUAAAUUUAAAUACUAUAAAUAAUGGUUCGAAAUUAA